UCCCAGCACUCUCUGCUCGGCACCUCAAUCACUUCACUCAACUCGACCAGGAAGGAGUGGGAGCGUCUUCUGCGUCCAGCUCUCCUUCCGUUAUGCUCUCUCUCUUUCUCUCUCAACAAUACCUAAUACCUCUGUGUCUUGGCAAUCGAAUUCCGUUAUGCUCAAGCAAUUUUCGCUGUUGAGUUGCUUUUGAGUAAUUUAUAUCUUUCCACUGCACUUGCUGUUUAUAUCUUGGUCUUGGAAUAAUAUUGUGUGCGUAUUGUGCUAUGAGUAUUGUGAAUAAUUGAUUAUUCAAUCGAAUGGGAAAGCAAUUGAUGAAUGAUAGUGUAGUAUCACACGUUGAGAAACACAAUUGGUAUUUGACAAUGUGGAUUUAUGCAAUGGAAUGAAAAACAUUAUCAAUUUAGAUUUUUAUUCAGUGUGAGUACCGAGUGCAGUGGCAUUAUAAGAUUCAUACAGCCGACCUCAUAAGGCUUUGUUGUUGUUGUUGUAUUCAGUACGAGUUUAACACUUUUUAAUGUUAUUAUUGCCUAAAAAUGUAUUUCCAGCUCUAGCUGGUGGACUUUUUUGUUUGCAGGACUUGUCAUAACAGCCGAUAUUCGUUAGGUUCCUUAUUAUAAAAUUUGUUGCCUAUAGCUAAAAGUUUCCCCUCCACAGUUGUGAAUACAUUGGAGGGGAAGUGGUUUUAUUGAUGAUUGCCGCUUUAUUACCAUUACCAUUUUCUGAGUAUCUUCACUGAUGUGGGUUUUAAGGGGAACAAAGCUUCAAGAUUGACAUGUUUUAAUCAGAGUCUUAUAAAAUAUUUGGUUUUCUACUGAUAAGAAAUAGGAGUGUAUGUUAACACAUUGUAUUUUGACAAUUGCAGGCUUGGGUUUCUCUUGGGAAGUCAUUAUGUUUGAUGUAAAUGAUGGUUUCUGGAUUAUCGACUAGGCUGUUGAACAUAUGCAUAGCUUCGUUUUGUAAGUCCCGGCUACUGGAGAGAGCAGAAGCCGUUAUAAUUGAUGGCAUAAGAUUAGGGGUGAUUCCAGAUGUGGUAACUUACAAUACUUUGCUCAGUGCCUAUUCUCGGUUUGUUAGCUUGGAUGCAGCUUAUUCUGUUGUUCAUAGAAUGAAAGAGGCUGGGAUUAGUCCAGAUGUCAUUACAUACAAUUCUUUGUUAUCCGGGGCCACCAGGAAUUGCCUGUUAUCACAAUCCCUGGAUCUGUUUGAGGAAAUGUUACAAGCGGGCAUACAUCCUAAUGUAUGGAGUUACAAUAUUCUGAUGCAUUGUUUCUUUAAGUUAGGAAAACCUGAUGAAGCCAACAGAGUAUUUCAGGAUAUUUUACUUCACAAUCUCACUCCCCACCCAGCUACGUUUAACAUUAUGCUUAAUGGCCUUUGUAAAAAUGAAUACAUCGAUAAUGCCCUAAUGUUAUUUAGGAAUUUGCAACGUCAUGGAUUUGUUCCCCAAUUAGUGACCUACAAUAUUCUUAUCCACGGGCUAUGCAAGGCACGCAGAUUGGGGCAAGCAAGAAAAAUGCUAAAGGAACUGGGGGAAUCAGGUUAUGAGCCAAAUGCCAUAACCUACACUACAGUUAUGAAAUGCUGCUUUAAGUUUAAGCAGUAUGACGAAGCGCUAGAGAUUAUGUCAGAGAUGAAGAGUAAAGGUUAUACUUUUGAUGGCUUUGCGAACUGCACGGUGUUGCUGCUUUAGUUAAGACUGGGAGAAUAGAAGAGGCAAAUGCUUGCAUGGAACAGACAAUGGGAAAUGGCAUUGAACUUGAUUUAGCGGCUUAUAACACUUUACUUAAUAUGUAUUGUAGAGAAGGUAAGUUUGAAGCUGCCUAUAAGCUGAUGGAUGAAAUAGAGAAUGGAGGUCUGUUGUGUGACAAGUAUACCCACACAAUUAUAAUUGAUGGAUUGUGCAAGGCUGGUAAUAUUAUCGGGGCUGAACACCAUUUACAAUAUAUGAAAAUGAUUGGCUUCCGUGAAAACUUGGUUGCCCUCAACUGCAUGAUUGAUGGCUUUUGUAAAGCUGGUCAAAUCGAUCGUGCAAUGGACUUGUAUAAAUCGAUGGAGACUAAAGAUUCCUUUACCUACACCUCCUUGGUGCACAAUCUUUGCAAGGUUGGAAGGUUCCGUUGUGCAUCCAAGCUUAUGAUGAAAUGUUUAAGAGAUGGCAAGAAAAUACUCAGGGCUACCCAUCGAGCUAUCCUUGAUGGUCUUCGUAGUACAGGGUAUACAGAUGAAGCAAGACAGCUUCGGUGGAAAAUUCAAGUGGCUCGAAUAUUACGUUAGAAACUGGCUAUGCUUUUGCUGCUGAAAAUUAGUUUCACCCUAUUUGGAUUGGCAUUUUGGACAGCACCAUUUAAAAUCCCUCUUUUAGUCAUAUUCCGUAAACAUCAGUUGUUUUGGGCUGGUAAGCUUGUUCUACCCAGCACUGAUUAUUAAUAAUGAAGAGUAAUAUUGAAUCUGAAUGUAAGGCGACUAACUACCCUGCCACUGCCUUGCAUUGCUAAUCUGACAGUGGUUCUGCUGGUGUGCAUAACAGAAAGACACUACUUGUAGCAAACACACUACUUCCUUAUUCAUGUAUGACUGGAAACAUUUCUCAAAUUCAUCUGUCAGUCAUGCUGGUUCUUCACUUGAUGGACCCACUGGGAACUGGUUAGCAUCAUUGAGAGCAGUUUAGUUAGAACUCAGGACAACUACUAACUACUCCUGAGAGGUAAACUUGUGUAGUACAGCCUACUUUUCGUGUAAGUAACUUUUGACAUCAAAUUUUGAUAAUUUGGUUUCUUAGAUACAUUUAAUGGUUGUACGACAGAGGAAUAAGAGAGCUUUGAUUCUCAGACAGAGAAAAAAGGAUGGUUUACUAUACAUCCUAAAGUAAAGAAUUGCAAACUCUUGCAUGUUUUAUAAAAGAACAAUUCUGAGGGAACCCUUGAUUCUCUUUCAUAUUUGUUGGUCUAUUUCUUAACCUGUCACAGCAAUGAUGUUUUACAAUUCUUCAAGGUCUGAGAUAUUAUAUCUUUAAAUAAUAUUCUUUGUGAGCAAAAUACUCCAAAUUUUUACCAUAAAAGGUUGAUUGUUUACUUUUGUUUAUGUAUGUCUUCCUAUAUCUUUGCUCUCUACCUGACUAUCAUUUCACCUCCUUAAAAUAUGCUGAUAAAGAAAUGUUAGAUCAAUAUUUGAUUUAGUUCUUUUCAUUUUAAAGGAGUUUUAUGCUUGAGGGGCCUCAUUUAUUUUGUGCUUCUGUGUGUGCAUGCUUAUAACUUGGGUCAGAACUCAGAAGGAGAUGCAUUGACAAAAAAAAUAGUUUUCAAGGAGCAUGGGAUAGAAACUAAGAUGUAUGAUAAUGUGCGUGGAGGUCUGGAUUUUAAGCUCAGCAAUUCAAAUCACGUAUGUCAUUGUGCAGGUGUAGUGGUCUAAACCAAAGCAAGGUGACAGGGUAAGUAGAAGAAAAAAAAAAGAGACAGAAAUAUGAAUUGCUGGUUUACUUCAUAUGACUGUAUUUUAUGUAUUUAAAAAUAUCGCCUGUAGCUCCAAAGAGGAGGUUUACUCAUUCGGCAUAAAGGGUUUCUUUCCUUGAUAUCCUGGAUGUUUUUAGGUGGUCUAGUUUACUGAAAGUAAAUUCCCAAAUUUUCAGUCUAGCGAAUAAGAAUAUUAUAUAACUGCAAAAAACAUCUGUCCUGGUCCUAAAUAAAAAUUCGUAUAUGACUGCACAAACAGCAAUUCGAGAAAGGCUCAUACUCAAUCAGAAUAAAGCUGUUCGAAUUAUUCGAACAAUAAACAAAAAUCAUACAAAAAUAUAGGGGAAAGAUUGAAAUGUAUCGGGAAGAGAUAACAGAGCUGGUUGUAUGAGCUGGGACAGCGAAACAAAAAACCAGCUGCUCAACUUCCUUGGACUGGAACAGAGAAGGAGAGAAGGAUUGAGGUAUGUAGGUGGGAGGCCGAUUCAUGUCUGCUGGAAGGAGAAAUAGGAUAUCGAAGAGGUUGAUGUGGGAUUAGGCUUCUCUAUUGGGUGGGAGGAGGAGAAGAAGAUGGUGAGGGCUUAAGUGAAUACACACAAUGGCGGCAGUUUUUGUUUAAAAGAAAAAAACAUUAUCUAACAGAUGACACAAAUCCUUACAUUAAAAGUAAGCAAUCACCAAUGACCAAAAGGUGCCAUUGCCUCUUAAGACUUUUGAAAGCAAAGGUAGGUUUACUGGUCGUCUUUCUUCUGGGGCUUUCGAUGUUUCUCCCAUUCUUGGCACCACUGCAUCAUGGUUUGUAUCUUGCGCCGCCACAUCUUGGAAUAUGCGUUCCUUGCUAAGCAAUCAUAUGCCAGGGGAAUAUUCGGCCUUGCCCCAAAGUGCAACUAGACGACUUUGAAAACACUGAUGAACAUGAAUGACGAAGGUGGUAACUCUGUAUCCACUGUGCUUCUCGAGGGUAUAGUGACAGUAUAUUGGAUGAUAUUGAAGGAGCAGUGGAUGACAGAGUGAAGACGGACAAGGCAACAACUGCUAGUGUAUGUAUACUGUUCUUGGAGCUGCAGCUACUGAAUUGAGUGAGCUAGGAGAGUAAAGGAGUUCUAUUUUACAGAAACGGGGAACAUUGUCAUUUUCAGGCAAUGUGCAUUGGAUGGCCGUGUUUCAUAUUCAGAUUGGACCAGUAUACUGUAGCAAAAUUUGCCAAAGGCUUUGACACGAUGCCUAAAUUUCUUGAGAAAAAUGCUGGGCUUAAUGCAACGGAGAUCAUAUCUUCUAUAUGUGCUGAACAUGCAUCAGGAAAUACCAAAGUUUGCCUUGACCAAUGAAAGUUGGGAUACCAGAGUUUUUGAAUGGCAUUGGCAAUGGAGUGGAAUCCCAUGUAACCAAGCUUGAGUCUGAGAUUAGAGACUUCCAAAAGUUGCCUGUCAUUCGUACUCUCAGGCUGAAGAAACUUGGCGUCCCUUGCAAACAUAGGAAGCUCAUCUUGAAAUACACUCACAAGUAUAGGCUAGGACUCUGGAGGCCUCGAGCUCAGCCCGUCAAAGCCUAGUUAGUUUAGGAGUAGCGGAGAUGGAUUGUUUGCCCUCCCCUCCCCAUACCCUCCUGUUUUGUGCGGUCAUGGUUAAGCCACGUCAACAUUUGCUUUUUGUCUUAUUAUUUUUAUAAAAAAAUUAAUAUAAAAUAUUGACGUGGCUUAAGCGUGACCGCACAAAACAGGAAGGCAUGGAGAGGGUAUGGAAAGGAGAGGGCAGACAAUCCAUCUCCUAGGAGUAGCGCGUCCUUUACACACAUAUUGUCUGCCGCAAAAUGUGACUGUCGGACACUUGAUGUACUGAGAUUUGAAGAAGAGUUUUACUUGCUUGUUAUAGUCGUCCGUCUCCUUUAUUUAAUUUAUAAUGAAGUUUAGUGGUUUAGUGUCUGAUAUACUGGAUGUUCAGUUUCAUAAUGUACCUAGCCAGUUGAAUAUAACAAUAAUUUUUUAGCACAUUUAAUUACGUAUUACUCUUCG
Long non-coding RNA from Malus domestica (apple), 5463 nucleotides. RefSeq lists it as uncharacterized. The record is from RefSeq and is a predicted model, not a curated record. NCBI's taxonomy places the organism in Eukaryota, Viridiplantae, Streptophyta, Magnoliopsida, Rosales, Rosaceae.